Molecule: ribosomal RNA, 433 nt
Filed under: uncultured bacterium
Lineage: Bacteria
Description: partial 16S ribosomal RNA
Rfam family: Bacterial small subunit ribosomal RNA
Source: RNAcentral
AACGAACGCUGGCGGCAUGCCUAACACAUGCAAGUCGAACGAGACCUUCGGGUCUAGUGGCGCACGGGUGCGUAACGCGUGGGAACCUGCCCUUAGGUUCGGAAUAACUCUCCGAAAGGGGUGCUAAUACCGGAUAAUGUCUUCGGACCAAAGAUUUAUCGCCUUUGGAUGGGCCCGCGUUGGAUUAGCUAGUUGGUAGGGUAAAAGCCUACCAAGGCGACGAUCCAUAGCUGGUCUGAGGGGAUGAUCAGCCACACUGGGACUGAGACACGGCCCAGACUCCUACGGGAGGCAGCAGUGGGGAAUAUUGGACAAUGGGCGAAAGCCUGAUCCAGCAAUGCCGCGUGAGUGAUGAAGGCCUUAGGGUUGUAAAGCUCUUUUACCCGGGAUGAUAAUGACAGUACCGGGAGAAUAAGCUCCGGCUAACUCCGUG